RNA transcript from Nomascus leucogenys (northern white-cheeked gibbon), 313 nucleotides. It is a transcript of the gene named non-histone chromosomal protein HMG-14 pseudogene, with no coding region annotated. The transcript has 3 exons. Lineage: Eukaryota; Metazoa; Chordata; Mammalia; Primates; Hylobatidae. The record is from RefSeq and is a predicted model, not a curated record.
AUGCCGUGGCAGAGGAGAAAACUGAGCAGUGCUGGCGGGGGGGCCGACAAGGAAGAGCCCAAGAGGAGAUCGGCGCGGUUGUCAGCUAAACCUCCUGUGGAAGUGGAAGCGAAGCCGAAAAAGGCAGCAGCGAAGGAUAAAUCUUCAGACAAAAAAAUGCAAACAAAAGGGAAAAGGGGAGCAAAGGGAAAACAGGCUGAAGUGGCUAACCAAGAAACUAAAGAAGAUUUACCUGCAGAAAACGGGGAAACGAAAACUGAGGAGAGUCCAGCCUCUGAUGAAGCAGGAGAGAAAGAAGCCAAGUCUGAUUAAU